UACGGGGGGGGGCAAGCGUUGUUCGGAAUUACUGGGCGUAAAGGGCUCGUAGGCGGCCAACUAAGUCGGAUGUGAAAUCCCCAGGCUCAACCUGGGAACUGCAUCCGAUACUGGAUGGCUUGAAUUCGGGAGAGGGAUGCAGAAUUCCAGGUGUAGCGGUGAAAUGCGUAGAUAUCUGGAGGAAUACCGGUGGCGAAGGCGGCAUCCUGGACCGACAUUGACGCUGAGGAGCGAAAGCUGAGGGGAGCAAACGGGAU
RNAcentral lists this ribosomal RNA (257 nucleotides) under uncultured bacterium. RNAcentral's name for it is "partial 16S ribosomal RNA". It matches the Rfam family "Bacterial small subunit ribosomal RNA", at positions 524 to 778 of the family's 1533-position model. The record is from RNAcentral.